UGUUUCGGCUAGGGGGCCAUCCCGGCUUACCAACCCGAUGCAAACUGCGAAUACCGGAGAAUGUUAUCACGGGAGACACACGGCGGGUGCUAACGUCCGUCGUGAAGAGGGAAACAACCCAGACCGCCAGCUAAGGUCCCAAAGUCAUGGUUAAGUGGGAAACGAUGUGGGAAGGCCCAGACAGCCAGGAUGUUGGCUUAGAAGCAGCCAUCAUUUAAAGAAAGCGUAAUAGCUCACUGGUCGAGUCGGCCUGCGCGGAAGAUGUAACGGGGCUAAACCAUGCACCGAAGCUGCGGCAGCGACACUAUGUGUUGUUGGGUAGGGGAGCGUUCUGUAAGCCUGCGAAGGUGGCCUGUGAGGGUUGCUGGAGGUAUCAGAAGUGCGAAUGCUGACAUAAGUAACGAUAAAGCGGGUGAAAAGCCCGCUCGCCGGAAGACCAAGGGUUCCUGUCCAACGUUAAUCGGGGCAGGGUGAGUCGACCCCUAAGGCGAGGCCGAAAGGCGUAGUCGAUGGGAAACGGGUUAAUAUUCCCGUACUUGGUGUUACUGCGAAGGGGGGACGGAGAAGGCUAUGUUGGCCGGGCGACGGUUGUCCCGGUUUAAGCGUGUAGGUGUGUGUUCCAGGUAAAUCCGGUUCACUUUAA
RNAcentral lists this ribosomal RNA (643 nucleotides) under Salmonella enterica subsp. enterica serovar Napoli. Its description in RNAcentral is "partial 23S ribosomal RNA". It matches the Rfam family "Bacterial large subunit ribosomal RNA", at positions 911 to 1555 of the family's 2925-position model. The record is from RNAcentral. Lineage: Bacteria; Pseudomonadati; Pseudomonadota; Gammaproteobacteria; Enterobacterales; Enterobacteriaceae.